Molecule: ribosomal RNA, 524 nt
Filed under: uncultured bacterium
Lineage: Bacteria
Description: partial 16S ribosomal RNA
Rfam family: Bacterial small subunit ribosomal RNA
Source: RNAcentral
GACGAACGCUGGCGGCGUGCCUAAUACAUGCAAGUCGAACGCUUCUUUUUCCACCGGGGCUUGCUCCACCGGAAAAAGAGGAGUGGCGAACGGGUGAGUAACACGUGGGUAACCUGCCCAUCAGAAGGGGAUAACACUUGGAAACAGGUGCUAAUACCGUAUAACAAUCAAAACCGCAUGGUUUUGAUUUGAAAGGCGCUUUCGGGUGUCGCUGAUGGAUGGACCCGCGGUGCAUUAGCUAGUUGGUGAGGUAACGGCUCACCAAGGCCACGAGGCAUAGCCGACCUGAGAGGGUGAUCGGCCACAUUGGGACUGAGACACGGCCCAAACUCCUACGGGAGGCAGCAGUAGGGAAUCUUCGGCAAUGGACGAAAGUCUGACCGAGCAACGCCGCGUGAGUGAAGAAGGUUUUCGGAUCGUAAAACUCUGUUGUUAGAGAAGAACAAGGAUGAGAGUAACUGUUCAUCCCUUGACGGUAUCUAACCAGAAAGCCACGGCUAGCUACGUGCCAGCCGCCGCAGUAA